CGGAAAGACCCCGUGAACCUUUACUAUAGCUUGACACUGAACAUUGAGCCUUGAUGUGUAGGAUAGGUGGGAGGCUUAGAAGUGUGGACGCCAGUCUGCAUGGAGCCGACCUUGAAAUACCACCCUUUAAUGUUUGAUGUUCUAACGUUGACCCGUAAUCCGGGUUGCGGACAGUGUCUGGUGGGUAGUUUGACUGGGGCGGUCUCCUCCUAAAGAGUAACGGAGGAGCACGAAGGUU
Molecule: ribosomal RNA, 238 nt
Filed under: Escherichia coli
Lineage: Bacteria; Pseudomonadati; Pseudomonadota; Gammaproteobacteria; Enterobacterales; Enterobacteriaceae
Description: partial 23S ribosomal RNA
Rfam family: Bacterial large subunit ribosomal RNA
Source: RNAcentral